CCUACGGGAGGCAGCAGUGGGGAAUCUUGCGCAAUGGGCGAAAGCCUGACGCAGCCAUGCCGCGUGAAUGAUGAAGGUCUUAGGAUUGUAAAAUUCUUUCACCGGGGACGAUAAUGACGGUACCCGGAGAAGAAGCCCCGGCUAACUUCGUGCCAGCAGCCGCGGUAAUACGAAGGGGGCUAGCGUUGCUCGGAAUUACUGGGCGUAAAGGGAGCGUAGGCGGAUAGUUUAGUCAGAGGUGAAAGCCCAGGGCUCAACCUUGGAAUUGCCUUUGAUACUGGCUAUCUUGAGUAUGGGAGAGGUAUGCGGAACUCCGAGUGUAGAGGUGAAAUUCGUAGAUAUUCGGAAGAACACCAGUGGCGAAGGCGGCAUACUGGCCCAUUACUGACGCUGAGGCUCGAAAGCGUGGGGAGCAAAACAGGAUUAGAUACCCUGGUAGUCCACGCUGUAAACGAUAGAGUGCUAGUUGUCGGCAUGCAUGCAUGUCGGUGACGCAGCUAACGCAUUAAAGCAACUCCGCCUGGGGAGUACGGGUCGCAAGAUUAAAACUUAAAGGAAAUUGACGG
Molecule: ribosomal RNA, 566 nt
Filed under: uncultured bacterium
Lineage: Bacteria
Description: bacterial SSU rRNA
Rfam family: Bacterial small subunit ribosomal RNA
Source: RNAcentral